UGGGGAAUAUUGGACAAUGGGCGCAAGCCUGAUCCAGCCAUGCCGCGUGAGUGAUGAAGGCCUUAGGGUUGUAAAGCUCUUUCGGCGGGGAAGAUAAUGACGGUACCCGCAGAAGAAGCCCCGGCUAACUUCGUGCCAGCAGCCGCGGUAAUACGAAGGGGGCUAGCGUUGCUCGGAAUCACUGGGCGUAAAGCGCACGUAGGCGGCUUACUAAGUCAGGGGUGAAAUGUGGCGGCUCAACCGUUUCGCUGCCGCUGAUACUGUAGGGCUUGGAUGCGGUGGAGGCGGGUGGAAUUCGUGGUGUAGCGGUGAAAUGCAGAGAUAUCAAGAGGAACGCCGAUAGCGAAGGCAGCUCGCCGGGCCGCGAUCGACGCUGAGGCACGAAAGCGUGGGGAUCAAACA
Molecule: ribosomal RNA, 402 nt
Filed under: uncultured bacterium
Lineage: Bacteria
Description: bacterial SSU rRNA
Rfam family: Bacterial small subunit ribosomal RNA
Source: RNAcentral